This 463-nucleotide ribosomal RNA is filed under the name uncultured bacterium. RNAcentral's name for it is "partial 16S ribosomal RNA". It matches the Rfam family "Bacterial small subunit ribosomal RNA", at positions 339 to 795 of the family's 1533-position model. The record is from RNAcentral.
CUACGGGGCGCACCAGUCGGGAAUAUUGGACAAUGGGGGAAACCCUGAUCCAGCCAUGCCGCGUGUGUGAAGAAGGCCCUAGGGUUGUAAAGCACUUUUAGUAGUGAGGAAGGCUCAGUAGUUAAUACCUACUGGGAUUGACAUUAGCUACAGAAAAAGCACCGGCUAAUUUCGUGCCAGCAGCCGCGGUAAUACGAAAGGUGCAAGCGUUAAUCGGAAUUACUGGGCGUAAAGCGCGCGUAGGCGGCUUGGUAAGUUGGAUGUGAAAGCCCCGGGCUCAACCUGGGAACUGCAUCUAAACUGCCUAGCUAGAGUAUGGUAGAGGAUGGCGGAAUUUCCUGUGUAGCGGUGAAAUGCGUAGAUAUAGGAAGGAACAUCAGUGGCGAAGGCGGCCAUCUGGACCAAUACUGACGCUGAGGUGCGAAAGCGUGGGGAGCAAACAGGAUUAGAUACCCGCGUAGUC